AACCGAGGCCCAUAAUUUUCUCCCUUCUAAAAUCGAGGACGAGAUUAAGGAGAAUAAAUCUCGUCCCCUUCCAAAUUUGAGGACAAGAUUUACUCUCCUUCCAAAUCUCGUCGCCUUCCAAAUUCAGAACGAGAUUUACCCCUUCAAAAUCUCGUCUCCUUCCAAAUUCUUCCAAAUUCACGGACGAGAUUUACUCUCCUUCCAAAUUCGUGGACGAAAUUUACUCCCAGGGGACGAGAUUUACUUAUUCCGCGAUCCCUCCCUGCUCCCUCCCUCCCUCCCUCCCAUGUACUCCUAGUCGUGUAGUCUAGACAGGGACCGUUUCCCUUCACCACUUCUUUCGUUGUUCGUCAAACCCGUCGCCCCCAUAUCCGAAUUUUUUUUUUUUUGCGAGUUCCGCUGGAAGAAAAAACACCCGGCGAACACCCCGCCUCCUGAACGGCUGAACCCCACCAGCCACCGCACGCAUCCUCUCCCGGCGGUCGCCGUCUUCUCUCCCCUUCCGCCUGUCACCCCCUACGUCGUACCCCUUCUUCCCCUGCGCUCGUCGCCUCUCCUGCCUUCCCCUCCGCCCGCCGCGCCGCCUACUCUCACCCCGCUGUCGCCUCCUCGAGCCUCGGCCAGCCAUGGGCACUGCCUGCUCGGCCGCUUCCUCGCGCCCUCCGCUCACCGCAGUCGUGGCGGCCCACGCUGGCGGCGGAGGACACCACGGAGCUGCGCGGCGGCGCGCUCUGGGUAAGUUGGCGAUGCCGGCAUGGUGGUGAUCUCCGGUCCAAGCCCCGGGCGGCGGAGGGAAUAGACAAAACAGUUGAAGGUAGCAGGAGGAUCAUUUAGACAAAAGUAUCCAAAAUUAGUGGUUCAACUUGUCGAUGAAAGUGCGUUGGCAACUGCAAUGGUGCUUAAAAGUAUCACUCUAGAUGAAAAGCAAGUUUUCAUCCAUGCAUCCACUUCCAAGAUAUCCCAUGCUAUUGCCAUAAUAUUAUGUGGGAGGAUUGUCCAGGUGAUCAUGAAUCGAAAGAAAUAAUAUGAUAUACACAAGCCACAGAUUCCAGAGAACAGAGCCAGCUAUUUGAAAUUAUCCGGCGAUGACAUGCCCAAGUUUGUUCAGAAAGUGGUGCAUUGGACCCCUUCAACAAUAUGUACACAGCUCCUAGGAAGGGAUACGAAGAGCAGAGGCGUUCCGUAGCCGAUUGGAGUUGGGCGAGACGUAAGGCACAGACGACGAUUCGAUCAUCUCAACCAAGAGCGCAACGAAGCGAUUUAUUCCCUGCAAGUCCAGGCCCACUCAACGAUUCCUUGGCCCAAAAGGCAAGCCAGGACAGCCCAACUCCAACAAAUCAUGUCGAUUUUCCCAUUUUCCUCCUCAAUUCAUGCAAACAGUCAGAUUUAACAGUAAUUAACACCUAUACCUAAAAUUUUGCGCCGAAAUAAGGUAAGGCGGGCGCCCUACCGAGAGCUCCGCCCGUGCUACUAAUUGUCGGCUCUAAAGUCACGCACUCCUGCCCAAGUUUCUUCCCGCACUUCUUUCGUACGGGUAGCACAAUUUUAGGGAAGAUUGCUUGGAAAUAGGUGAUUGCAGUCGUUUUGGUUUGGCAACAAAAAAAAGAAAUAGAAAGGAGAGUGAUUUGGGCUCGAACCAGAGGAGCAGCAUAAAGAGGAAAAAGACGGUAUGGCAUCACCUUGGUUUGUGGGUAAGAUUAGAAAGAAAUGAGCCGGGAAGAGGUGAGUUUGUGGGUAAGAUUAGAAAGAAAUGAGCUUAUCCUGGCAUGCUCUGUCUAGGUCCUUCUUCUGGCAUUGCUGGGCCUCCCUCUCCUCGGGUGAUUGCUUAUCCCGGGAUGCUCUGUCUAGCUCCCUUCUGGGGGCAUUAAUGGCCUCCUUCUCCUCGGGUGAUUGCCUAUCUCGGUAAAGUCGGGGUUCGAAAUUUAGGAAUUCAAAGGUAAGGUCUGAUUCAGAGACUUCCUGUACGAGAUCAGGGUCAAAAAUAGACUUUCUCUUGAUUGAUUGUGCUAAUCGCGGUGGCGGGGGGUAACGGGGAUAGCGGUUGCUGUUUGCUGUUCGACUAGGGGUUGAGACGCGCCUCCUGAGACGGUCUUGAUUUUAAUUAAUCGUAGUGAGAUUUGAAUCGCCGCUGUUGUUGCCUCUAAACCUGGUCCAGUUUAUCUUGCUAGGAGAAGAAGAAAUUAGCUGCAGGUUGCUCUUUGGAAAAACAAAAUAAGAGCAAAAGGGGAAAAACACAAAGCGCUGUUAAAAAUUGAUGUGAUGAGCCAACAAAUAGACUCUUCUUUGUUGUAUCAGUUGCCUGUUAUUCACUAUGGAAGGAUGUCGAACAUGAUACUGCAGUACAUACUAUAUAUAUAUAAACACAGCUUGUGAGUAAAUGGUUCACAAUGAUA
Molecule: long non-coding RNA, 2393 nt
Organism: Brachypodium distachyon (stiff brome)
Lineage: Eukaryota; Viridiplantae; Streptophyta; Magnoliopsida; Poales; Poaceae
Exons: 5
Source: RefSeq, a predicted model, not a curated record